UACGUAGGGUGCGAGCGUUGUCCGGAAUUAUUGGGCGUAAAGAGCUCGUAGGCGGUGUGUCACGUCGGCCGUGAAAACUUGGGGCUUAACCCUGAGCUUGCGGUCGAUACGGGCAUCACUUGAGUUCGGCAGGGGAGACUGGAAUUCCUGGUGUAGCGGUGAAAUGCGCAGAUAUCAGGAGGAACACCGGUGGCGAAGGCGGGUCUCUGGGCCGAUACUGACGCUGAGGAGCGAAAGCGUGGGGAGCGAA
Molecule: ribosomal RNA, 250 nt
Filed under: uncultured bacterium
Lineage: Bacteria
Description: partial 16S ribosomal RNA
Rfam family: Bacterial small subunit ribosomal RNA
Source: RNAcentral